This 2333-nucleotide long non-coding RNA is filed under the name Equus caballus (horse). RNAcentral's name for it is "lncRNA (ENSECAG00000042689.2)". The record is from RNAcentral. Lineage: Eukaryota; Metazoa; Chordata; Mammalia; Perissodactyla; Equidae.
UGGAGUUGCUGGGUCCAAGGGCAGGAAGGGUUUUAAGACUGGGGUUCAGUGGUGCCAGAGCCCCCCAGGAAGGGUGGAGGGACCCACUUGCCCAUCCCAGUGCCCCGCCCCAUCUCCUAGUGCAAAGUCAGGUCCACACCCGGCACCCACAUCUACCCGGGGCUGGGUCCUUGGCAUGCAAUUAUGUGGAACAGACUUAGAAAACGCAAAGCAAACUGUCUUCUCCUCCACCUUCCCUCGAGGACCAGCUGCCUACUGUCCCUCCCCGGCCCCCCACGCCUUUCCCCUCCAGGUUCAGGCUCCCUGAAUCAUGACCCCCCAGCAUGGCCAGGCCCGGGAGGGCUGUCCUACAAUUUGAGGGUGGAGCAUUGGCACGGAAGCCAGCAUCUCUCUCUGUGCCUCACUUCCCCCUCACUCUACAUCGAGAAUCCAGCCAGGAUUAUGCCUGUUCCAGCAGAAACAAGAGGUGCGGUUUUAAGGGUCUCUAACAUCCUCGCCAGCUUGUGAACCACAGUUUGACUCUUCUGCUGCUGCACUUUUAGGCUGUUUUCCAUUUUUCUCUUCAUAAAGGAUGUGGCUGAUGCCUUUCGGCAGAGAACUCUUUCCAUAUUUCACCUUAUUUCCUAAGGAGAGAGUGUCAGAAGAGGGAUGAACUUGGUCACUUGGUCAAAGUUUUUUCUUUUUUAAUCUGAUUUCAUAUUUCUUAAGAAUGAUGCACCUUAUGAAACAACUUUAUAUCUGUUGAGAAACCUGGUUAAGUUCUUUUUUUAAUAUUGUUUUUAAAAAAGACUUGUUCUGAACAAUAUCCUGUGUCUUUCAGAAAACAGCGGCGGAUAUGAAAGGAGAUUUGUUCCCUCCAAGCUCUUAGGAGACGAUCUGGCUCAGGAAACAGACACAUCAGAUCCUUGCGUGUAUCUGAUGGUUGCCAUGGGAACAAGUCAUUUAACACAAUGCUGGGUUAAAGCAUUGAUCAAUAAGGGAGGGGGCAAGAUUGAAACAAAUUAGUUGGUGUCUGAGCAGGCCGGACAGAUAAUGACAGUAACGGGCAGUGCUCUGCCUGGCCUCCUCCCGUGGCCGGGGCCUGGGCCUGGGCCAGCAGAGGCAGGAGUGGGGUCCCUUCAUCUAGGGUUGGGAUGUGUGGGGCAGAGAACAGAGUCAUAUCAGGCUGAGGAAACUGUUCCCCAAACCAGAUACUGGGGCAAGAGAGGCCUGAGAGGAGUCUGGGGACCUGGGCUCUGGGGGUGAGUGGAACACAAGGCGACAUGGGAAGAAGCUGGGAUGGACCCCAGGGCCUGGGCACAGCCAGUCCCGGCUUCUCCACGCUCCUGCACCAUGUUUGCACAGACGGCUGGGACAUCUUGCCACAUCCUUCAUCUCUCAGGUGUCUGCCAAAGACGCAGCCGCUAACCCCGUGCCCUGUGUUUUGGGCAUGGAUGGGGCAUUCCCUCCUCCUUCUGGGAACCGGAAGCAUCCGGGCUGGCCUGGGAGCCAUCAAGGGCUCAGACUCCGCAUUUGGCAAGACCUGUUUCUAACUGCUACCCCCACCUCCUGGCCGUUGAGCUGGCAAGUCACUGAAGCCCGUGCCCCUCAGUCUUCUCAUCUGUAUGAUGAAGGAACCAUGCGCAGCGUCUGGCUUGGCGCCUGCAACAGAGUCAGCCCUCAGGAUGUAGUAACCUCGCCCUAUUUAUACCAUGUUCGUGUGCCUGGAACAGGCUCCGGGGGCGCCUCGGACCCCAACUGCCACGGCAGCCACACAGCAGGACGAGGAGAGAACAGCCCGUGGGGCCGGAUGCGGCGGGGCUGGGACGCCAGGCAGACGAGAUGCCGGCUGUGCAACCUCCCUGGUCCCUUCACAUCUCUGAGGUGCACUUGGCUCGCGGGUCAAGUGGGGAUACAGCGCCUUUCUCCGGGGGCGCUGAGCGCGGCGAUGAGCGUGGGUAACACAGCCAGGAGUGCUUCUCCCCCGGGGGAACAGGAUUUUCCGGGGUCCGGACACUCACGCCCCCCGGAUCGGCGCCCCGGAGCGCAGGCGCGCGGCGGGGGGCUGCCCCCCAGGCGAAGGGCCCGGCUCGGCAUCUGGAAAGACCCGCGGGUCGCGCGGCCCCGGAGCGGCCGGCAGGGGGCAGGCUGUCCCCGCGAGCCGGCCGUGUCCUCGCGUCACCCCGCCGCCUCCAGCCCCCGCGCCUCCUGAAGGGGCCACGCGGCCGCCUCUGCGCGGAGGGCGAGCGGCCCUUCCCCGGGGAGCCCUCUCCAUCAGCGCGGGCCCAAUAAUUUACGUUUAAUUUGGGAGCGGUUUAAUGUUUAAUUUUAAAAACUGAAUGAUUCAUUACCAU